This 179-nucleotide unclassified non-coding RNA is filed under the name uncultured Ascomycota. Its description in RNAcentral is "sequence contains ITS1". Lineage: Eukaryota; Fungi; Ascomycota. The record is from RNAcentral.
CCGAGUGUUAGGGCCCUCUGGGCCCGACCUCCCACCCUUGUCUAUCGUACCUUGUUGCUUCGGCGGGCCCGCCAUUCGUGGCCGCCGGGGGGCAUCUGCCCCCGGGCCCGCGCCCGCCGGAGACACCAUAACGAACACUGUCUGAAGUUUGCAGUCUGAGUUGAUUUAUUCAAUCAUUA